GACAGAGGUGCCGAGCGUUAGGCGGAAUCACUGGGCUUAAAGCGUGUGUAGGCGGGCGGGCAAGUACCUUGUGAAAUCCCACGGCUCAACCGUGGAACGGCUGGGUAUACUGGUUGUCUUGAGCCAGCUAGGGGCGAGCGGAACAGACGGUGGAGCGGUGAAAUGCGUAGAUAUCGUCUGGAACGCCAAAGGUGAAAACAGCUCGCUGGGGUUGUGCUGACGCUGAGACACGAAAGCCAGGGGAGCGAACGGG
RNAcentral lists this ribosomal RNA (253 nucleotides) under uncultured bacterium. RNAcentral describes it as "partial 16S ribosomal RNA". It matches the Rfam family "Bacterial small subunit ribosomal RNA", at positions 524 to 776 of the family's 1533-position model. The record is from RNAcentral.